AUGCCAAACACGAGCUGGAUCCUGCUAGGAGAACAAUACUCUGCUGAACUCUGAGUGCUUUUCUUCAUUUGAGCUGAAUCAUGUACAACAUCAAUGUGACGUGUGGAGAGAUUGAGACUGAAUACAGACUUCAUGCUGAUUUACUGAACUACACCAAUAAUCCUGACUGUGAUCAGAGCUGGUAUUCACAGGGCAAGCGUCUGUUAGCAGAUCCAUCAGAUCCUCAAACACUGUUUGAUCCUGCUAUUUCUGUCUCGUCUGACCAUCUCUUCACUUCUCACUGUGUGGAUAAAGUUCAUCAUGAGAUCAUCUGUCAUUCUGCUGAAUUAAGAUAUGAGACUAUAUUUAGAGUGUUUAAUGGCACAGACUCCAUUAGCAGACCAAGACAAACUCCAGAAUCACAUCAGUUGUGGUGGAUUUCUGCCCUGAUCUUCAUUGUUCUUCUGGUUUUGAUCUGUUUCUUCUUGCGUAAAAGGAUCUCCAAUUGUAUUUCGAGAACAGUUACAAGCAUAUUUCAGCGCAAUGAUUCAGAAAACAGAGAUCCUGAAUCUGGUGUCCAAAUGAAGAUCACUGAAUCAAUCUGAAUCUGAACAGAUCAAUGGCUCCAUGUCCAGAGGAUGAUCAGAAACAUGCAUUGAUUUGAACUCUGAUCAGUCAGGAUGAUUGAUUGUUUUAAUGAUUCACUUUAAUGAAAUGUUUCCUGUGACAAAAAAAAAAAAAAAAAAAAAAAAUUGUCUGACCAGUCAUUUUUUUGUUAAAUUUGAUUUAUUAGUGAAUGUCUCUGUACAGACAGAUGAAUGUGAUUGAAUAUGUUUUCAGCAGGACUGUAAGUGGAUCAGAAACUGUUUUUACAUUACAGAUUAAAUCGUGAUUAAAUGAUUGUAGCUUUUCCCCAGAUUUCUAUUAGCUUUCAUGAGAUAACCAGUGGAAUGUCACCACAGAGGACUUCUAAAACGCAUCUCUCUCUCUUCAUAUAUACACAUAGAAAGAGUCACGUGGAGAGAUUAAGAGCAUUGUGUUGGGACACAUCAGUCAUUUGUGUUGCAUUAGCUGAAAACAGUGCAUCUGUAGUUCCCAGAAUCUUCAGCCGCUUCAAACUCUCAGAGCAGAUGGUGACCUUCAGAAACCACAGGAAGAAUCGGUAAAGAGAUGUCAGUGAUCGACACUCCUGGACUUUAUGAUACUAUAGCUGUUAUGAUGGAAAUAGUGAAAUACAUAAGACAGGCCACACACUUGAAGAUUCUGAGCCCAAUUUUGAGCCUAAUUUGCACCCCAAGCAAUCAGGGGUAUGGCCCAAUUCGAGGCAAAUUACUUUUUGUCCAAAAAAAAACUUCUGUGGUGACAUUACGAUUAUUUAACUGCUCCCGAUCAAACUCAAAUUGUAAAUAUGCUUGAUAUUUAGGACUCCUGAUCAGGCUGCAUCCUACGUGAUACCUGUGAUAGCCAAUAAGAGUGAGCAAGCAUUGCCUACUGGAUGUUGUGUGCUGCUAUAGCUAAAACAGUAUGGAGAAAGAAGAUCAUCCAGAUUUUUUUUUUGUUCAUAGGAUUAUAAUGUUAAACAUCGGUUGAAACUGUCCGAUGAUUGAUCUCCUUUCACUUGAAGAGAGAUUUACUGUAUACACUGCUCUGUUCUGAUGACAUGAGAAUAAAAAUGACAAAUCAAGUUGAACGCUCUGGAUU
This is a long non-coding RNA of Cyprinus carpio (common carp), 1680 nucleotides long. NCBI's taxonomy places the organism in Eukaryota, Metazoa, Chordata, Actinopteri, Cypriniformes, Cyprinidae. The record is from Ensembl.